Molecule: long non-coding RNA, 581 nt
Filed under: Coffea arabica (coffee)
Lineage: Eukaryota; Viridiplantae; Streptophyta; Magnoliopsida; Gentianales; Rubiaceae
Description: long non-coding RNA (CARA_LNC001769)
Source: RNAcentral
AAAGAUGCCUCCUUUAUCAUUGAUCCCUUGCUCUAUUGGGAAAAAACAGAAAAACCCACAACACGGUUUCUUCAGAAAACAAAAAAAAAAAGUACAAAAGAACUCGGGCAUAAGAAAGUGGAGGAAUUAGAAGAAUCAAAACUUUUAAGCAUACAGAAUGUACUUUAGAAAAGGAAACAAAAGACUUGCAAGAUGUCAUCAGGUUGCCGGAAGUAAUUUCCAAUUUGUCACCUGCAAUAUCAGAAAUAUGUAAAUUAGACAACUACAACCCAUUUAAAAAAAAAAGAAAAAAAUGAGGGCUAGAGAAGUUCUGCAAAGGAAGAAACAAGAACCUUUAAAAGUAUAUACAUAAACCAUCUUUUUUGGCUUAUCAUUAUUCUCCAUCAGAAGACGAAGACAAAGAAAAGAGAAAGAGAAGAAGGGGGCUUUCUCGUCGGAGAAGAAGAAACGAAGAGAAAGAGAGAGAGAGAGAGAGAGAGAGAGAGACGAUGAACAAAGAGGGAGGGAUAAAUGAUGGUUCUGAUCCAGUAGGUGUGACCAAAAAAGCUGACAUUAGGUAAGGUGGGAAAGAGACAUAGGCC